CCCACAGGCCGUAAACCCAAGGUUUCCAGGGGAAGGUUCGUCCGCCCUGGGUUAGUCGGGACCUAAGCUGAGGCCGAAAGGCGUAGGUGAUGGACAACAGGUUGAUAUUCCUGUACUACCGAUAACCAUUUGAGAGAAGGGAUGACACAGUAGGAUAAGCUAAGCACACUGUUGGUUAUGUGUGCCCAAGCAUUGAGGCAGUCAAAGUAGGCAAA
This 215-nucleotide ribosomal RNA is filed under the name Clostridioides difficile. RNAcentral describes it as "partial 23S ribosomal RNA". It matches the Rfam family "Bacterial large subunit ribosomal RNA", at positions 1329 to 1540 of the family's 2925-position model. Lineage: Bacteria; Bacillati; Bacillota; Clostridia; Peptostreptococcales; Peptostreptococcaceae. The record is from RNAcentral.